Molecule: ribosomal RNA, 440 nt
Filed under: uncultured bacterium
Lineage: Bacteria
Description: bacterial SSU rRNA
Rfam family: Bacterial small subunit ribosomal RNA
Source: RNAcentral
AACGCGAAGAACCUUACCUGGGCUCGAAAUGUUAUGGACCGGAGUAGAAAUAUUCCUUUCCCGCAAGGGACCGUAAUAUAGGUGCUGCAUGGCUGUCGUCAGCUCGUGUCGUGAGAUGUUGGGUUAAGUCCCGCAACGAGCGCAACCCUUAUCUUCAGUUGCUACCAUUUAGUUGAGCACUCUGACGAAACCGCCUCGGAUAACGGGGAGGAAGGUGGGGAUGACGUCAAGUCCUCAUGGCCUUUAUGUCCAGGGCUACACACGUGCUACAAUGGCCGGUACAAACCGUCGCAAACCCGUGAGGGGGAGCUAAUCGGAAAAAGCCGGCCUCAGUUCGGAUUGGAGUCUGCAACUCGACUCCAUGAAGCUGGAAUCGCUAGUAAUCGCGGAUCAGAAUGCCGCGGUGAAUACGUUCCCGGGCCUUGUACACACCGCUAGUC